Molecule: non-coding RNA, 423 nt
Organism: Pelobates cultripes (western spadefoot toad)
Lineage: Eukaryota; Metazoa; Chordata; Amphibia; Anura; Pelobatidae
Source: the annotation of a GenBank genome assembly
GAUGGGCCAAAUGCUUCUUAUCUGCCGUCACAUUCUAUGUUUCUAUGUAUGAGCCUAUAUCGAAAUUCUAUUAUAUUUAAUUAAUUAUUUAGGCCCAUACAGAUGUUAAAUUGUAAUAACAGAAAUCUAUUGGGUUGCAAUUAAUCGUAUAGUCUAUAUAAUAUACUGACAUAGAGAUUUAAGGUUCGUGGUGGUAUUAACUAAUGACUGAUCAAUUUUAAUAAUGGAACCAAGUAAAUUGUCCCUACCAUAGCACAGUUGUUAUGGUUCAAUUGUUGUAGUCUCAUAUUUCCUUAGGGUAAAUAUUUAAGGUUCUGCUGCAAUUGGGAUUGUGAGGCUUUAAAGGUGAAUGAUUCUGCUGUUAUUUGUACAAUGGGGAUACAUAUUUACAGUUUAAGUGAUAGAAGUGUUUUAGUUUGUUAG